RNAcentral lists this transfer RNA (64 nucleotides) under Parainocellia bicolor. RNAcentral's name for it is "tRNA-Leu". The record is from RNAcentral. RNAcentral also lists the same sequence under 1 other name. Lineage: Eukaryota; Metazoa; Arthropoda; Insecta; Raphidioptera; Inocelliidae.
AUUACUUUGGCAGAAUAGUGUAAUGAAUUUAGAAUUCAUAAAUGUAUUUAUUAUACAGGUAAUA